AGGUAAUAUGAAAUGAGGGCUAAACAAUGUAAUAUAACUGCCAGUUAAGGUAGACAGUAGUUGUGGUCUUAGUUACAUUUGAUAUGGAGUUGUGUAAUAUUAAGCAGAUCCCAGUGGAGUUAGUAAAAACAUAGGUAUUGAGUUUUAAUGGCUACCAAUUGGGAUAUAUACUUAGCCUGCAGGCUGAACUUUAGUCAGUGUUUUUCUAUCAUGUUGUUUUGUGAACAAGUCAAAAUUUAUACAAAGCUACCCUAAGUGCUGCAAUUGCAGAGGAACUUGCCUCUUCGUGAUAUUAGAGGGCAGUCCAACUCCGCUCAAACUGAGUCCAAGAUUUGAAUUCAUCCAGAAAAACAAAUGGAGGAGAAAAGCCUAAUGCACCACAUGUGUUUGGCAUUUCAUGGCUGGGACAAUGGAGUAGAGGGUAGGAAGACAAGCUGUAGAACAAAAGCAAAGUGAGGUAGAAAGUAACAGGUCCCAGACGAGGACAGACUUAGAGAUGUGUAACCUUGGAUCCUCUUUUUCACUUAGAAUAUGGGUAAACUUCUUAGCACAAGACUGGAUUAAGAGAAGUUCUUUCUGUUAAACUCACCUAGGGUAGUGGCUUUGAAGGCCUCAGAGGAUUAAUAGAUUCCCAAAAUUUUCUUCCAGACCUGGGAGAUGGAGAGAAAGAGGUUCUUGCUUUAAAGCGGCUCGAAGACAAUCUUUAUGACUUCAGCAACUCUUCAACAUAGUAGCACCAAUAAAGGAGAGAUUAUGUUAACUUCCUAGUGGUGAGAAUACCAUGGGAUGGGAGAAGGGCCAGUGAGUGGGAUGGGAAUGAGCUUCAUCAGGAACAGAUUUCAGACUCUGCAGGGUGCACCGGUUCUAGCCUCAAAUAACAACAUUGCAAGGAGGUGGACUACAGGGUCCACACCCUCUGUCCUUCGGGGCCCAUGGUCAGGCCAUUCCCUCUUUGUUUUGCUCCUAGAGGAUGAGCAUGUAAGAUGAGAUCAGGAGGGAAAUUGGGUGCUCUGCCUCAGGCUGUUAAAAUGCUGCUACCUGCAUUCUAAAACGUGCAAGUCAUGCCCCACAAGACACCUCCUUAGGGCAGCAUCCACUGUGGUGUGCCAGCCUGACACCCCUGCAGUCACGGUGUUUGAAUGGCAGCUGAUGCUGGCCCACCCAGAGUAUCGGUGCAUCUCUCCUAAAGCCACAGUUCAGCACUGCAUGUUGACCAGGCGGAUAUCCUAUAAUAUAGAUGCUCGUUUGGAUCCAAAAGGAAAACCAUUAAAAAUAAAAGAAAGAUGAAAAACUUUAAUGUUUUGGGGGGGAUAAAAGAAAAGAAUAAAUAAAACCUUGUUGUAAAGAAAAAAAAAAAAAAAA
This 1362-nucleotide long non-coding RNA is filed under the name Homo sapiens (human). Its description in RNAcentral is "non-protein coding lnc-RGSL1-8:2". The record is from RNAcentral. Lineage: Eukaryota; Metazoa; Chordata; Mammalia; Primates; Hominidae.